ACGGGUGAGUAAUCCGUAGGGAUUUGCCUUAAAGAGGGGGACAACCCGGGGAAACUCGGGCUAAUACCGCAUACUACUCUGAGGAGGAAAGGCUUGGUGAAAGCCAGGCGCUUUAAGAGGAACCUACGGCCGAUUAGCUAGUUGGUGGAGUAAAGGUUUACCAAGGCGACGAUCGGUAGCUGUUCUGAGAGGAAGAUCAGCCACACUGGGACUGAGACACGGCCCAGACUCCUACGGGAGGCAGCAGUGGGGAAUUUUGGACAAUGGGGGCAACCCUGAUCCAGCGAUGCCGCGUGUGUGAAGAAGGCCUUCGGGUUGUAAAGCACUUUAGUUGGGGAAGAAGAAUUGAAGGUGAAUAGCCUUGAAUUUUGACGGUACCCAAAGAAUAAGCACCGGCUAACUCUGUGCCAGCAGCCGCGGUAAUACAGAGGGUGCAAGCGUUAAUCGGAGUUAUUGGGCGUAAAGGGCGCGUAGGCGGUUUGAUAAGUAAGAUUUGAAAUCCCUGGGCUUAACCUGGGAACUGGAUCUUAGACUAUUAGACUGGAGUGCAGUAGAGGGUGGUGGAAUUUCCGGU
Molecule: ribosomal RNA, 574 nt
Filed under: uncultured bacterium
Lineage: Bacteria
Description: bacterial SSU rRNA
Rfam family: Bacterial small subunit ribosomal RNA
Source: RNAcentral